This is a long non-coding RNA of Pan troglodytes (chimpanzee), 2877 nucleotides long. RefSeq lists it as uncharacterized. NCBI's taxonomy places the organism in Eukaryota, Metazoa, Chordata, Mammalia, Primates, Hominidae. The transcript has 3 exons. The record is from RefSeq and is a predicted model, not a curated record.
UGCACCCAGGUGAAACAAACAGCCAUGUUGCUCACACAAAGCCUGUUUGGUGGUCUCUUCACACGGACGCGCAUGAAAUUUGGUGCCGUGACUCGGAUCGGGGGACCUCCCUUGGGAGAUCAAUCCCCUGUCCUCCUGCUCUUUGCUCCGUGAGAAAGAUCCACCUACGACCUCAGGUCAUCAGACCGACCAGCCCAAGAAACAUCUCACCAAUUUCAAAUCCAGAGCUUGCUACACAUGCCGGAAAUCUGGCCACUGGGCCAAGGAAUGCCGACAGCCCGGGAUUCCUCCUAAGCCGCGUCCCAUCUGUGUGGGACCCCACUGGAAAUCAGAUUGUUCAACUCACCUGGCUGCCACUCCCAGAGCCCGUGGAACUCUCGCCCAAGGCUGUCUGACUGACUCCUUCCCAGAUCUUCUUGGCUUAGCUGCUGAAGACUGACACUGCCGGAUCGCCUCGGAAGCCCCCUAGACCAUCACGGACGGCGAGCUUCGGGUAACUCUCACAGUGGAAGAGUGGGUGUACCAGUUCACAAUCCCAAUAGAAAUGAUGUAAGAAGCAGGACACAACUCCAGAGGUGGGGCUCAGACACGGAACCAGAUUGAGGACAAGUUAACACAGGGCCUGGUAAGAAGCAGUUUUCUAAUUAGACAUGCCCACCAAUGUGCCAUGUCAAUUUAUCAUUCCAAUGGCAACACCCAGCUUUUACCGACUCUUUACAUGGCUAUGACCCAAUGACCCAAGUUACUACCCCUUCCUUAGAAAAUUCUGCAUAAACCACGCCUUAAUCUGCAUGCAAUUAAAAGUGGGUAUAAAUAUGACUGCAAAGAUGCCCUGAGCUGCGGUGGUCUGCCUACUGGGUAGCCAUGCUCUGCAGGAGCAGUCGUGGAGCUGUAACUCCGUCAGACUGUAACACUGCCUCUUCAAUACAACUGUUUUCUUCUACAUCUGGCUUGCCUUUGAAUUCUUUCCUGGGCAAGGCCAAGAACCCUCACAGGCUAAACUCCACUUUGGGGCUAGUUUGCCCUGUAUGAGAAAUGUUUGAGUCCAGUUCUUCUACAUCCUAACUCACAUUUGACACUGGCAUUGAUUUUUUAUGUAUUUAUCGAUUUUGUUCUGUAUUGUUUUGCCACUUGGAUAGGUGUGUAUGCCUGGUUCAUUUUGAUUACUGUAAGUAUGGUUCAUUUUGGGUUUCUCCAGUGUCUGAUGAUGUUGAACAUCUUUGCAUGUGCUUACCUGCCCCUGGGACAUCUUCUUCAAUGAAAUGUAUCUUGCUGUUUUUUGCUCAUGUCAUAAUUGGGUUGUUUUCUUCUGAGAAUUCUUUACAUAUUGUAGAUACUAUCCAUUUGUCAAAUACAUGGCUAGCAAACAUUUUCUUCCCAUAUGUAGCUUUCUUUCACUCUUUAUAGAGUGAAAUAUUUAGAUUUCAAUGAAGUCCAAUUUAUCAUUUUUCCCUUAUGGUUCAUGCUUUUGAUGUAAACAAUAAGGAUUCUGUCCAUCAUAGAUUCCAAGUAUUUGUUCUAUAUUUUUAGCUACAAGUUUCACACUUUUAUAUUUUACAUUUAAUCUGUGGCUUAUUAUGAGUUAAAUUUUGUAUAAAAUGUGAGAGGUUUGAAGGUUGAGUUCUUAUUUAUUUUUUACUUGCCUUUUUUUUUUUUUUAUCUGUAAGUGUUCAAUUGCUUGAGAACCAUUAUUUGAAAAUGUUAUCUUUUCUGCAAUGAAUUGCCUUUGGAACUUUGUCAAAAAUUAGUUAGGGGUAUGUUUGUGGAUUUAGUAUAUUUGGGCUUUUUGUUCCCUUCAAUUAAGCUAUGUAUCUAUACCUCCACCAAGACUAGACUAUAUUAUUACUAAUAGCUAUAUAGUACUUUACGUUGAGUGGGGUAAUUUUUUCUACUUUAUUUUCCAUUAUCAGGACUGGUGUGGCUAUUCUAGUGACUGUGACUUUCUGUGUAAAUUUCAAAAUAUUUUUGUCUUUUGUCUACAGAAAAAACCCCUUGCUGGAAUUUUGGUAGCACGUGCCUAAACCUAUAGAUCAACUUGGUAGAAUUAAUGUCUUUACUUUGCCAAGUCUUUCAAUCUAUUCACCCAAUAUAUCUCUUCAUUUAUUUAGCACUUUGAAAAUUUCUUUCAUCAUUAUUUUGCAUUUUUCAACUGACAUUUCCUGUAUAUGUUUUAUUAAGUUUAUAAUUAAGUAUAUGUUUUUUGGAGGAAGUAUACAUGUAUUUUUUAAAAUUUUAUUUCAAUGUUUAUUGUUAGUAUAUAGACAUGUGAUGAUUUUUGUUGGUUGUAUAUUUUGUCCUGUUGGUUGUAUAUUUUGUCCUGUGUUCUUGGGUCUUGUGGCCUUGUUGUAAUCACUUAUUAGUUUCAGCUGAUUUUUUUUGUAACUUACUUAAGAUUUUCUACAUAAACAAUUAUGUCAUCUACAAAGACAGACAACAUCUUUUCAAUCCACUUGCUCUUUGUUUCCUUCUCUUGACUUACAACAGUAGAAAGAACUACCAGUAGUUCAUUAAAUAAAGUUCAUAUGAGUGGACAUAUUUGUCUUGUUUCUAACCUUGAGGUAUAGGGAGGAUUCAGGGUUUUGCCAUUACAAAUAAUUUUAGAUGCAGUUUUUUGGUUUCUGUUUUGCUCUGUUUUGUUUUGGGUAGGCACUCCAUAUUACAUUUAGGUAAUUCUCUAUUUCUAAUUGUUGACCUGUGUGUUGGAGUUUGACAAAAGGGUUUUGUUUUUAGUCAAUUUAUAUAAUCAUAGAAAUUUCCUUUAGUCUGUUGAUGUGGUAGAUUACACUGAUUAAUUUUCAAAUAUUGAACUGGACUUGCAUAACAAAAAUAAAUCUAACUUGAUCAUAGUUUAUAAUGAUGUGUAUACAUUAUUAAAUU